UUACGGCUUUAUCAAGUUGAAACACCGGUUCCCGUACGAUCACCGAAGUUAAGCAACGUCGAGUUUGGUCGGUACGUAGAUGGGUGACCGCUUGGGAAUACCAGGUGCUGUAAG
RNAcentral lists this ribosomal RNA (114 nucleotides) under Acanthosepion pharaonis. Lineage: Eukaryota; Metazoa; Mollusca; Cephalopoda; Sepiida; Sepiidae. The record is from RNAcentral.